GCACUGGCAAAAUCCAGUGUCAGGAUUGGACCCCUGUUUGUUAACCAAAGGCGCACAGACGCCAGCUUUUGCUGGUUUUUU
RNAcentral lists this small RNA (81 nucleotides) under Vibrio splendidus 12B01. RNAcentral's name for it is "isrK Hfq binding RNA". It matches the Rfam family "isrK Hfq binding RNA". The record is from Rfam by way of RNAcentral. Lineage: Bacteria; Pseudomonadati; Pseudomonadota; Gammaproteobacteria; Vibrionales; Vibrionaceae.